RNAcentral lists this ribosomal RNA (424 nucleotides) under uncultured bacterium. RNAcentral's name for it is "partial 16S ribosomal RNA". It matches the Rfam family "Bacterial small subunit ribosomal RNA", at positions 360 to 776 of the family's 1533-position model. The record is from RNAcentral.
AAUAUUGGGCAAUGGGCGAAAGCCUGAUCCAGCCAUGCCGCGUGUGUGAAGAAGGUCUUCGGAUUGUAAAGCACUUUAAUUUGGGAGGAAGGGCAGUAAGUUAAUACCUUGCUGCUUUGACGGUACCGACAGAAUAAGCACCGGCUAUCUUUGUGCCAGCAGCCGCGGUAAUACAGAGGGUGCAAGCGUUAAUCGGAAUUACUGGGCGUAAAGCGCGCGUAGGUGGUUCGUUGAGUUGGAAGUGAAAGCCCCGGGCUUAACCUGGGAAUUGCUUUCAAAACUGACGAGCUAGAGUACGGUAGAGGGUAGUGGAAUUUCCUGUGUAGCGGUGAAAUGCGUAGAUAUAGGAAGGAACAUCAGUGGCGAAGGCGACUACCUGGACUGAUACUGACACUGAGGUGCGAAAGCGUGGGGAGCAAACAGG